GCACUGCUGACGAGUCCCAAACCGGACGAAACAGCUGUCUACUGCAC
Non-coding RNA from Echinostoma caproni, 47 nucleotides. The record is from Rfam. Lineage: Eukaryota; Metazoa; Platyhelminthes; Trematoda; Plagiorchiida; Echinostomatidae.